Podarcis muralis (Common wall lizard) is the source of this 234-nucleotide non-coding RNA. NCBI's taxonomy places the organism in Eukaryota, Metazoa, Chordata, Lepidosauria, Squamata, Lacertidae. The record is from RefSeq and is a predicted model, not a curated record.
AGGCGGCUGACUUGGCGAGCGAAGGAGCCGGGCGCUCUCUUGACACCGCGCAAAUGCUAAACCCGUUUACUCGGAAAAGAGGGAGACAAAACAUUUAUCCUGAAAUCAAAGGAAGUCAAUAAAGCGAAACACCUCCUAAUUGAUUCCCACUGGCCCGCGUUGUCCUCGUCAGCAGGCCGGGGGAAAGCGAAAAGGACAAGGAGGCCGCAAACAAGUCCGCCGCUGCCUGCGCAG